RNAcentral lists this ribosomal RNA (825 nucleotides) under uncultured bacterium. RNAcentral describes it as "bacterial SSU rRNA". It matches the Rfam family "Bacterial small subunit ribosomal RNA", at positions 33 to 848 of the family's 1533-position model. The record is from RNAcentral.
ACGCUAGCUACAGGCUUAACACAUGCAAGUCGAGGGGAAACGACAUCGAAAGCUUGCUUUUGAUGGGCGUCGACCGGCGCACGGGUGAGUAACGCGUAUCCAACCUGCCCAUCACUUGGGGAUAACCUUGCGAAAGUAAGACUAAUACCCAAUGAUAUCUCUAGAAGACAUCUGAAAGAGAUUAAAGAUUUAUCGGUGAUGGAUGGGGAUGCGUCUGAUUAGCUUGUUGGCGGGGUAACGGCCCACCAAGGCGACGAUCAGUAGGGGUUCUGAGAGGAAGGUCCCCCACAUUGGAACUGAGACACGGUCCAAACUCCUACGGGAGGCAGCAGUGAGGAAUAUUGGUCAAUGGGCGAGAGCCUGAACCAGCCAAGUAGCGUGCAGGAUGACGGCCCUAUGUGUUGUAAACUGCUUUUAUAAGGGAAUAAAGUGAGUCUCGUGAGACUUUUUGCAUGUACCUUAUGAAUAAGGACCGGCUAAUUCCGUGCCAGCAGCCGCGGUAAUACGGAAGGUCCGGGCGUUAUCCGGAUUUAUUGGGUUUAAAGGGAGCGUAGGCCGGAGAUUAAGCGUGUUGUGAAAUGUAGACGCUCAACGUCUGCACUGCAGCGCGAACUGGUUUCCUUGAGUACGCACAAAGUGGGCGGAAUUCGUGGUGUAGCGGUGAAAUGCUUAGAUAUCACGAAGAACUCCGAUUGCGAAGGCAGCUCACUGGAGCGCAACUGACGCUGAAGCUCGAAAGUGCGGGUAUCGAACAGGAUUAGAUACCCUGGUAGUCCGCACGGUAAACGAUGGAUGCCCGCUGUUGGUCUGAAUAGGUCAGCGGCC